This 253-nucleotide ribosomal RNA is filed under the name uncultured bacterium. RNAcentral's name for it is "partial 16S ribosomal RNA". It matches the Rfam family "Bacterial small subunit ribosomal RNA", at positions 524 to 776 of the family's 1533-position model. The record is from RNAcentral.
UACAGAGGGGGCAAGCGUUAUUCGGAAUUACUGGGCGUAAAGGGCUCGUAGGCGGCCAACUAAGUCAGACGUGAAAUCCCUCGGCUUAACCGGGGAACUGCGUCUGAUACUGGAUGGCUUGAGGUUGGGAGAGGGAUGCGGAAUUCCAGGUGUAGCGGUGGAAUGCGUAGAUAUCUGGAGGAACACCGGUGGCGAAGGCGGCAUCCUGGACCAAUUCUGACGCUGAGGAGCGAAAGCCAGGGGAGCAAACGGG